Molecule: non-coding RNA, 4251 nt
Organism: Solanum tuberosum (potato)
Lineage: Eukaryota; Viridiplantae; Streptophyta; Magnoliopsida; Solanales; Solanaceae
Source: Rfam
AGUUUCACUCUAUCAUUUUCCGAGUCGUUACAACCUUCUCCCUUCCCCAACCUCAAAUCCAACUAUUUCUAACAUUUCAAAUGAGAGGUUUAUGUCAUGUUUGCAUCCUUGGAAGGAAAAAACCCACUAACUGUUGAAAUAUAAGUUUCGAGAAUAACAUGGUCCAUGAAAUUUACUACUUUACUGCUAUGUGUUGAACUAUACGUUCUAUGUCGAUCAAACACUUGUUCAAUAAUGAUGACUUAUAGCAAGGUUUUUCGUGAUGUUGGGUUCAUUUCUCAUGUCUAAUGACAUGUUAAGGGACUACUAACGAUGUCUCUAUAAGAGGUUUAUCACUAUGUCUGGGGCGAUUCCAAAUACAAGUAAGAUGUGAAGGGCCAUAUGUUUCUAUGUAGGCUGCACGGGCAUUCCACGUCUGGGUAAGGCGAGAUCAGCAAAAUCUUGCACGCAUCGGACAAGCGACGUCGGCCAACGGCAUAUGGCAUCAGUCAACGCCAACAUGCAUCGGAAGCGGCAUUUGCACAUCGGUCAAGCAACGUCGGCCAAUGGCAGACAGCAUCAGCCAAGGCCUGCAUGCAUCAGACGUGUCAUGUGCGCUUGAGGCAAGAAACGUCGGCCAACAACCGGCGGCAUCAUUCAAGGCUUGCACGCAUCGGAGGUGGAAUGUGCGCAUCGGGAAAGCAACGUCGGGCAACGGCAGGUAGCUUAAUCCAAGGCCUACAUAUAUCGGACGUGGCCUGUGCGCAUCGACAGGGCGACAUUGGCCGUGGCCUGCGCACAUCGGCCAGGCGUCAUCUACGAUGGCCUGCGCGCAUCUACUAGGUGACAUAGGUUGUGGCUUGCCCACAUUGGUUGUGGCUUGCCCACAUCGGUUGUGGCAUAUGCGCAUCGGCCAGGCAACAUAAGCCGUAGCCUGCCUACAUCGGUCGUGGCUUGCACGAAUAAGCCAGGCGAGUUAGGGUGUGGCAUGCGCGCAUCGACCAAUCGACAUAGGUAGUGGACUGCCUGCAGCAUUAGUGGCUUGUGCAUAUUGGUCAGCAAACGUCGGGCGUGCCCUAGCCGCAUCGUCCGUGGCCUGCUCACAUCGGUCAGCCGACGUAGGACGUGGGCUACCCGCAUCAUCCGUGGCCUGCACAUGAUGGUCAACCGACGUCGGUCGUGGCCUACCAACAUCAUCUGUGGCGUGCACACAUCGGUCAGCCAACGUUGGAAGUGGCCUUCCAACAUCAACCGUGUCCUGCACACACCGGUCUGCCGACUUUGGACGUGGCCUGCCUACAACGAUCAGCAGACGUUGGAGGUGGCUUGCCAGCAUCAUCUGUGGCCUGCACACAUCGGUUUGCCAACGUCGAACGUGGCCUGCGAGCGUCGUUUGUGUCCUGCACACACCGUUUUCCCAACGUUAGACGUGGCCUGGCUGCAACGCCCGUGGCGUGCACACAUCGGUUAGCCGACAUUGGAUGUGGCCUGCCCGCAUAGUCUGUGGAUUGCACUCGUUAAACGAGCGACAUCGCAUGUGACGACAUUUGCCUGCUCCAGACGCUGGCCUAUGGGCUCCCCAUUCGACUCGUCUUUAAACACGGACCAAGGAGUCUGACAUGUGUCCAAGUCAACGGGCUAGUAAAUUCGUAAGGCUUAAGGAAUCUGAUUGGUGGGAUCCCCCUAAGGGGUGCACCGCCGACCGACCUUGAUCUUCUGAGAAGGGUUCGAGUGUGAGCAUACAUGUUGGGACCUGAAAGAUGCUGAACUAUGCCUGAGCGAGGUGAAGCCAAAACAUACUCUGGUGGAGGCCCGUAGCGAUACUGACGUGCAAAUCGUUCAUCUGACUUGGAUAUAGGGGCGAAAGACUAAUCGAACCGUCUAGUAGCUAGUUCCCUUCGAAGUCUCCCUCAGAAUAGUUGGAGCUCGCGUGUGAGUUCUAUUGGGUAAAGACAAUGAUUAUAGGAUUCGUGAGCGCAACAGCCUUGACCUAUUCUCAAACUUUAAAUCAGUAGGACGGCGGGACUGCUUUGUCGAGCUGCACCACGAAAUCAGAAGCUCAAAGUGGACCAUUUUUGGUAAGUUGAACUGGCUCUGCGGGAUGAACGGAAAGCUGGCUUAUGGUGCCAAACUGCACUCUAACCAAGAUCCAACAAAGGGUGUUGGUCGAUUAAGACAGCAGGAAGGUGCUCAUGGAAGUCGAAAUCCGCUAAGGAGUGUGUACCAAUUCAGCAGCCAAGUAAACUAACCCCGAAAAUGGAUGGCGCUUGAGCGCGUGACCUACACCCAGCCGUCAGGGAAAGUGCCAGACCCCGAUGAGUUGGAGGGAAUAGCGAUCGCUGUAAAACCUUGGGCAUGAACCUGGGCGGAGCAGCCGUUAAUGCAGAUCUUGGUGGUAGUAGCAAAUAUUCAAAUGAGAACUUUGAAGGGUGAAAAGGGGAAAGGUUCAAUGUGAAUGGCACUAGCACAUGGGUUAGUCGAUCCUAUGGGUCGAGGGAACCCCGACAGAUAAUGCAUUUCGUGCGUACCCCGAAAGGGAACCGGGUUAAGAUUCCGGAAUCGGGACGUGGCGGUUGACGACAACGAUUGGAAGUCGGUGGAAGCCUCGGGAAGAGUUGCCUUUUCUGUUUCACAUCAUGCCCACCAUGGAAUCGGCUCUGCCGGAGGUAGGGUCCAACGGCUGGAAGAGCACCACACGUCACGUGGUGUCCGGUGCUCUCCCGACGAUCCUUGAAAAUCCAGAGGACCGAAUGUUGUCCACGGUUGGUCGUACUCAUAACCGCAUCAGGUCUGCAAGGUGAACAACCUCUAGUUGAUGGAACAAUGUAGGCAAGGGAAGUCGGCAAAAUGGAUCCGUAACUUUGGGAAAAGAAUUGGCUCUGAGGGUUUGGCAUGGGUAUCCCAGUCCCGAACCCACUGGCUGUCGGUGGACUUCUUGAGCAGAUCCCGCAGAAAAAGCGGGUCGCCGUGUGCCGGCCAGGGGACGAACUGGGAACGGUUCCUUCGGGGGGCUUCCCCGGGAGUCAAACAGCUAAUUCAGAACUGGUAUAGGCAAGGGGAAUUCGACUAUUUAAUUUUAACAAAGCGUUGCGAUGGUCCCAACGAAUGUUUACGCAAAGUUAUUUUUGUCCAGUGCUCUAAAUGUCAAAGUGAAGAAAUUCAACCAUGCGGGGGUAAACGGCCGGAGUGACUAUGACUCUCUUAAGGUAGCCAAAUGCCUCAUCAUCUUAUUAGUGAUGGGCAUGAAUGUAUUAACAAGAUUUCCACUGUCCCUGUCUAAUAUACAGCGAAACCACAGCCAAGGGAACAGGCUUGGCAAAAUCAACGGUUAAAGAAGACCAUAUUUAGCUUGAGUCUAGUCCGACUUUAUGAAAUGACUUCAGUGGUGUAGUAUAAGGGGGAGUCGGAAGGCGAAAGUGAAAGUGGGGAACUACCCCUAUUUUUUUACCCAAGGCUCACUUCGCGGGCCGAUCCGAGGGCAGACAUUGUCUGGUGGGGAGUUUAGCUAGGGCGGCACAUCUGUUAAAAGAUAACGCAGGUGUCCUAAGAUGAGCUCAACGAGAAUAGAAAAAUCGUGUGGAUCAGAAGGAUAAAAACUCGUUCGAUUCUGAUUUCCAGUACGAAUACGAAUCGUGAAAGCGUGGCCUAACGAUCUAUUAGAGCUUCGAAAUUCUAAGCUAGAGGUGUCAGAAAAGUUACCACAAGGAUAACUAGCUUGUGGCAGCCAAGUUAUAUAGCGAAGUUUAUUUUUGAUCCUUCGAUGUCGGCACUUCCUAUCAUUGUGAAUCAAAAUUCACCCAAGUGUUGAUUGUUCACCCACCAAUAGGGAAUGUGAGCUGGGUUUAGACCAUCGUGAGAAAGGUUAGUUUUACCCUACUGAUGACAGUGUCGCAAUAGUAAUAUAAUCUAGUAAGAGAGGAACCGUUGAUUCACAUAAUUAGUCAUCGCGCUUGGUUGAAAAGCUAGUGGCGCGAAGCUACCAUGUGUUGGAUUAUGAAUGAACGCCUCAAAGUCAGAAUCCAGGCAAGAAACGACGCAUGCGCCCGCCGUCAGCUUGCCGACCCGCAGUAGGGGCCAUUAGCCCCCAAGGGAACGUUUUGUUGGCUAAGUCACCGCGACGGAAGCGGCGCGGUGACUGCCUUGAAGUACAAUUUCCAUUGAGCGGUGGGUAGAAUCCUUUGCAGAAGACAUAAAUACGUGACGGGGUAUUGUAGGUGGAAGAGUGGCCUUGCUGCCACAAUCCACUGAGAUACAACCCUUCGUCACUCCGAU